Molecule: ribosomal RNA, 246 nt
Filed under: uncultured yeast
Lineage: Eukaryota; Fungi
Description: partial 26S ribosomal RNA
Rfam family: Eukaryotic large subunit ribosomal RNA
Source: RNAcentral
GCCAUAUCAAUAAGCGGAGGAAAAGAAACCAACUGGGAUUACCUUAGUAACGGCGAGUGAAGCGGUAAAAGCUCAAAUUUGAAAUCUGGUACUUUCAGUGCCCGAGUUGUAAUUUGUAGAAUUUGUCUUUGAUUAGGUCCUUGUCUAUGUUCCUUGGAACAGGACGUCAUAGAGGGUGAGAAUCCCGUUUGGCGAGGAUACCUUUUCUCUGUAAGACUUUUUCGAAGAGUCGAGUUGUUUGGGAAU